RNAcentral lists this ribosomal RNA (555 nucleotides) under uncultured bacterium. Its description in RNAcentral is "partial 16S ribosomal RNA". It matches the Rfam family "Bacterial small subunit ribosomal RNA", at positions 355 to 902 of the family's 1533-position model. The record is from RNAcentral.
UGGGGAAUUUUGGACAAUGGGCGAAAGCCUGAUCUAGCAAUGCCGCGUGUGUGAAGAAGGCCUUCGGGUUGUAAAGCACUUUUGUCCGGAAAGAAAUGGCUCUGGUUAAUACCUGGGGUCGAUGACGGUACCGGAAGAAUAAGGACCGGCUAACUACGUGCCAGCAGCCGCGGUAAUACGUAGGGUCCAAGCGUUAAUCGGAAUUACUGGGCGUAAAGCGUGCGCAGGCGGUUGUGCAAGACCGAUGUGAAAUCCCCGAGCUUAACUUGGGAAUUGCAUUGGUGACUGCACGGCUAGAGUGUGUCAGAGGGGGGUAGAAUUCCACGUGUAGCAGUGAAAUGCGUAGAGAUGUGGAGGAAUACCGAUGGCGAAGGCAGCCCCCUGGGAUAACACUGACGCUCAUGCACGAAAGCGUGGGGAGCAAACAGGAUUAGAUACCCUGGUAGUCCACGCCCUAAACGAUGUCAACUAGUUGUUGGGGAUUCAUUUCCUUAGUAACGUAGCUAACGCGUGAAGUUGACCGCCUGGGGAGUACGGUCGCAAGAUUAAAAGCUC